RNAcentral lists this ribosomal RNA (254 nucleotides) under uncultured bacterium. RNAcentral describes it as "partial 16S ribosomal RNA". It matches the Rfam family "Bacterial small subunit ribosomal RNA", at positions 524 to 776 of the family's 1533-position model. The record is from RNAcentral.
UACGUAGGGGGCAAGCGUUGUCCGGAUUUACUGGGCGUAAAGGGCGCGUAGGCGGUCGUGACAAGUCACUUGUGAAAUCUCCGGGCUUAACUCGGAACGGUCAAGUGAUACUGUCGGACUAGAGUACAGAAGGGGCAACUGGAAUUCUCGGUGUAGCGGUGAAAUGCGUAGAUAUCGGGAGGAACACCAGUGGCGAAGGCGGCUUCCUGGCCCGAUACUGACGCUGAGGAGCGAAAGCAUGGGGAGCGAACAGG